UGGCGGACGGGUGAGUAAAGUAUCGGAACGUACCAUUGAGUGGGGGAUAACGUAGCGAAAGUUACGCUAAUACCGCAUAUACCCCGAGGGGGAAAGCAGGGGAUCGCAAGACCUUGUGCUCUUUGAGCGGCCGAUAUCAGAUUAGCUAGUUGGUGAGGUAAAGGCUCACCAAGGCGACGAUCUGUAGCGGGUCUGAGAGGAUGAUCCGCCACACUGGAACUGAGACACGGUCCAGACUCCUACGGGAGGCAGCAGUGGGGAAUUUUGGACAAUGGGGGCAACCCUGAUCCAGCCAUGCCGCGUGAGUGAAGAAGGCCUUCGGGUUGUAAAGCUCUUUCGGCCGGGAGGAAAUCGCAUAGGUUAAUACCCUGUGUGGAUGACAGUACCGGAAUAAGAAGCACCGGCUAACUACGUGCCAGCAGCCGCGGUAAU
This 432-nucleotide ribosomal RNA is filed under the name uncultured bacterium. RNAcentral's name for it is "bacterial SSU rRNA". It matches the Rfam family "Bacterial small subunit ribosomal RNA", at positions 96 to 524 of the family's 1533-position model. The record is from RNAcentral.